Molecule: transfer RNA, 85 nt
Organism: Felis catus (domestic cat)
Lineage: Eukaryota; Metazoa; Chordata; Mammalia; Carnivora; Felidae
Rfam family: tRNA
About the family: Transfer RNA (tRNA) molecules are approximately 80 nucleotides in length. Their secondary structure includes four short double-helical elements and three loops (D, anti-codon, and T loops).
Source: Rfam
GCCUGGGUGGCUCAGUCGGUUGAGCGUCCGACUUCGGCUCAGGUCAUGAUCUCACAGUCUGUGGGUUCGAGCCCCGCGUCAGGCU